This 345-nucleotide unclassified non-coding RNA is filed under the name soil metagenome. RNAcentral describes it as "partial contains 5.8S ribosomal RNA, internal transcribed spacer 2, and large subunit ribosomal RNA". The stretch from base 1 to 119 matches the Rfam family "5.8S ribosomal RNA", at positions 35 to 154 of the family's 154-position model. The record is from RNAcentral.
GAUGAAGAACGUAGCGAAAUGCGAUACGUAAUGUGAAUUGCAAAUUCAGUGAAUCAUCGAGUCUUUGAACGCACAUUGCGCCCCCUGGUAUUCCGGGGGGCAUGCCUGUCCGAGCGUCAUUGCUGCCCUCAAGCACGGCUUGUGUGUUGGGCCCCGUCCUCCGAUCCCGGGGGACGGGCCCGAAAGGCAGCGGCGGCACCGCGUCCGGUCCUCGAGCGUAUGGGGCUUUGUCACCCGCUCUGUAGGCCCGGCCGGCGCUUGCCGAUCAACCCAAAUUUUUAUCCAGGUUGACCUCGGAUCAGGUAGGGAUACCCGCUGAACUUAAGCAUAUCAAUAAGCCGAGGA